CGGGGGAGGCCGGAUCCUGGGCUGUGUCCCGGCGCCCUGUGCUCCGGGGCCUGCGCUGUUGGAUUUGAGCUCCCGCCCCGCAGCCCCCU
This 89-nucleotide microRNA precursor is filed under the name Canis lupus familiaris (dog). RNAcentral's name for it is "mir-8799 microRNA precursor family". It matches the Rfam family "mir-8799 microRNA precursor family". The record is from Rfam by way of RNAcentral. Lineage: Eukaryota; Metazoa; Chordata; Mammalia; Carnivora; Canidae.